Molecule: ribosomal RNA, 253 nt
Filed under: uncultured bacterium
Lineage: Bacteria
Description: partial 16S ribosomal RNA
Rfam family: Bacterial small subunit ribosomal RNA
Source: RNAcentral
UACGUAGGGGGCUAGCGUUGUCCGGAUUUAUUGGGCGUAAAGAGCGUGUAGGCGGCCAGGUAGGUCCGGUGUGAAAACUCGAGGCUUAACCUCGAGAUGUCAUCGGAAACCAUCUGGCUAGAGUCCGGAAGAGGAGAGUGGAAUUCCUGGAGUAGCGGUGAAAUGCGCAGAUAUCAGGAAGAACACCAAUGGCGAAAGCAGCUCUCUGGCCUGUAACUGACGCUGAGGCGCGAAAGCGUGGGGAGCAAACAGG